Molecule: RNA transcript, 1831 nt
Organism: Brassica napus (rape)
Lineage: Eukaryota; Viridiplantae; Streptophyta; Magnoliopsida; Brassicales; Brassicaceae
Gene name: F-box/LRR-repeat protein At2g43260
Exons: 4
Source: RefSeq, a predicted model, not a curated record
GAAACAGAGUUUUUGAGUUUUGUCGGCACACAAGAAAGAAUGGGGGAAGAAGAAGAAGAAGAAGAAGAAGAAGAAGAAGAAGAGAGCUCGAAUUCUAUGUGCAUACUUCCCGAGCUACUUGAAGAGAUAUUCAUUAGACUACCAUUGAAAUCGAUUCUCAGAUUCAGAACCGUAUCAAAACAUUGUAGAUCACUCCUCGAGUCGAGGAGGUUCUCGGAGAAACGUAUGAGUCUUCAAAAGAAUCGGAGAAUCCUCGCUGCUUACAAUUGCGACUGCGGCGACCGUCCGCGUCUCCUCACCGAGUCACGGUUCGAAGGAGACGAAGAGAUCGUAUAUCUUCACUGCCUCGCCUCACGACCCUCGUUGAGCUGCGACGGUUUGCUCUGCUUCCCCGAACAAGACUGGAUCAUUGUUUUGAAUCCAUCCACGAGACAGCUCCGCAGAUUCCCUUCCGGCUUGAACCAUAAGUGCAGAUUUGGAUUCGGAUUAUGGUCGAGCUUCUCGCCUGGAAACUGGGCGAUUGGGUUUGGUAGAGACAAGGUUACGGGAAGCUUUAAAGUAGUGAGGUUGUGUUUUUCUUUUCGGGAAAUUGGGCAAGAGGAACCUGUGUUGGAAUGUGGUGUUCUCGAUGUUCAAACUGGUGUAUGGAGUAAACUGAGUCCACCUCCUCAUGUAGUUAAUCCCGGAAGCAAAUCUGUCUGUGUGAAUGGAUCCAUCUACUGGUUACACGUUGAUGUUUACGUUGAAAAGCAUUAUAAAAUACUUGCACUGGAUCUUCAUAAACAAGAGUUCAAGAAAUUCCCAGUUCCGCCUACACGAGCUACGAAGGAAUCGCGGUUAGUGAACCUUGAGGAACGUCUAGCGUUUGUCAAAACAAAUGUUUUGCCUAUAUGGAGGGUAGAGAUAUGGAGCACGGAUACAUAUCAAAAACGAUGGAGCAAGACUUUUUCCAUACACUUAAAACUUGAUGUUGUUUCAUGGCCAAAGCGGAGAAGGUGGUUCACGCCAGUGGCGGUUUCUAAGCAAGGGAAUCUUGUCUUCUAUGACAAUCAGAACAAGCUGUUUAAGUAUUAUCCAAGGACAAAUGAGACUCGGUGUCUCUCACUGGACACUUGUGUUAUAUCUCCAUACGUGGAGAAUUUGGUAUCACUUCCUUUAAAACCGAGUCAUCCGUAUCCUCAUGUAAGUGUGGAAACAAGGAUGUCCAGAUGCCGCUUGUUUUCCAGGGAGUCGAGUUCUUGGAUAUUCAAAGCUUUGCAACACAAACAGUAGCUCAUCACAGGUAUUCAGGGGAUACUCUAGAUGUGAUCACUUGCAGCAGUUCUCCAUUUUUGCAGUGUGUUACGUGUAUACUCUGGUAUCCUGCAACUGAGCAGCCUGUAUCCAGAUAAGCAGUUAUCUGCCAAUCAUACUUGCCUGAGACCACCUUAUGGGGUGCUGUAUCUGGCGGCAAAGAAGCAGUAUGUGGGAUUCAACAGUGGAGCGAAACAUCUGAGGAACCUAUUGGAUGAGGAAACUAUCUUCGGAGCUUAUUUGAUUAAGGAGACUACUGAAAAGAUGUUUGACAGAUCUUCCUUAAAAUAGCUAUAGAAGAACUAACUCAUGACCAGAUAUUCUGCAGCUGCAUCAGUUUAAUAGAAUUCAGUCAAAUACUCAUGGCCAAUAAUUUUACUUCUCUUCUAUUGGUUUGUUUAUCAACUAAUUGGAAUUCAUUUGUAUAUAGAAAAGAACAUUGAUACAAAAAAAAUUAUGUUUGGAUUGCAUGAGAAUUAUGGAUUGAAAUGUACUUAAGCAUUGUAAAUUCAAGUAAAGCAUAGUUAUUAUUAGUCUA